Molecule: ribosomal RNA, 1083 nt
Filed under: Bacillus sp. (in: firmicutes)
Lineage: Bacteria; Bacillati; Bacillota; Bacilli; Caryophanales; Bacillaceae
Description: bacterial SSU rRNA
Rfam family: Bacterial small subunit ribosomal RNA
Source: RNAcentral
CAUCUUCAACUGCUGAGUCUACAUGCAGUCGAGCGAACGAGAACGCAGAGCUUGCUCCCGGAUGUUAGCGGCGGACUGUAUAUUAACACGUGGGUAACCUGCCUGUAAGACUGGGAUAACUCCGGGAAACCGGAGCUAAUACCGGAUAGUUCCUUGAACCGCAUGGUUCAAGGAUGAAAGACGGUUUCGGCUGUCACUUACAGAUGGACCCGCGGCGCAUUAGCUAGUUGGUGGGGUAAUGGCUCACCAAGGCGACGAUGCGUAGCCGACCUGAGAGGGUGAUCGGCCACACUGGGACUGAGACACGGCCCAGACUCCUACGGGAGGCAGCAGUAGGGAAUCUUCCGCAAUGGACGAAAGUCUGACGGAGCAACGCCGCGUGAGUGAUGAAGGUUUUCGGAUCGUAAAGCUCUGUUGUUAGGGAAGAACAAGUGCGAGAGUAACUGCUCGCACCUUGACGGUACCUAACCAGAAAGCCACGGCUAACUACGUGCCAGCAGCCGCGGUAAUACGUAGGUGGCAAGCGUUGUCCGGAAUUAUUGGGCGUAAAGGGCUCGCAGGCGGUUUCUUAAGUCUGAUGUGAAAGCCCCCGGCUCAACCGGGGAGGGUCAUUGGAAACUGGGAAACUUGAGUGCAGAAGAGGAGAGUGGAAUUCCACGUGUAGCGGUGAAAUGCGUAGAGAUGUGGAGGAACACCAGUGGCGAAGGCGACUCUCUGGUCUGUAACUGACGCUGAGGAGCGAAAGCGUGGGGAGCGAACAGGAUUAGAUACCCUGGUAGUCCACGCCGUAAACGAUGAGUGCUAAGUGUUAGGGGGUUUCCGCCCCUUAGUGCUGCAGCUAACGCAUUAAGCACUCCGCCUGGGGAGUACGGUCGCAAGACUGAAACUCAAAGGAAUUGACGGGGGCCCGCACAAGCGGUGGAGCAUGUGGUUUAAUUCGAAGCAACGCGAAGAACCUUACCAGGUCUUGACAUCCUCUGACAACCCUAGAGAUAGGGCUUUCCCUUCGGGGACAGAGUGACAGGUGGUGCAUGGUUGUCGUCAGCUCGUGUCGUGAGAUGUUGGGUUAAGUCCCGCAACGAG